Pseudonaja textilis is the source of this 169-nucleotide non-coding RNA. Lineage: Eukaryota; Metazoa; Chordata; Lepidosauria; Squamata; Elapidae. The record is from RefSeq and is a predicted model, not a curated record.
UGGCUAGGCAGACACAACAAGCUGGAAUCCACAAAGAUCCUGUAGGAGCAAACACAACAACACAGCCCUGCGCCCUUGGCCCCAAAUAGUUAACUAAAACAUUCAAUUAAUUUAAGGUAAAUAGAAACAUUCAAUUGCAUUCAAUUGAUUUAAGGUAAAUAAUACUUUU